UUUAAUUUUAUAGGCAUUAGCUCUUUCACCAAGGACUCCUUUUUUAAAAAGACUGUCCAACUACUGACAAACACCUUUUGUUCUGUAGUGAGGCAGAAGUAGUACCCUUUAGUUUUCUUUGAAUACCCUAUGAACAAGCAUCUGUCGAACUUCAGUCUAAGCUUAUCUAUCUUUAAAUGCUUGACAUAAGCUAGACACCCCCAGAUCCUA
Molecule: long non-coding RNA, 210 nt
Filed under: Elaeis guineensis (African oil palm)
Lineage: Eukaryota; Viridiplantae; Streptophyta; Magnoliopsida; Arecales; Arecaceae
Description: long non-coding RNA (EGUI_LNC052447)
Source: RNAcentral